Molecule: ribosomal RNA, 314 nt
Filed under: uncultured Elusimicrobiales bacterium
Lineage: Bacteria; Pseudomonadati; Elusimicrobiota; Elusimicrobia; Elusimicrobiales
Description: bacterial SSU rRNA
Rfam family: Bacterial small subunit ribosomal RNA
Source: RNAcentral
AGUUAACGCUGGCGGCGUGCCUAACACAUGCAAGUCGAGCGAGUUCUUACAGAGUAUCGUAAGAAUUAGCGGCAAACGGGUGAGUAACACAUGGGAAACCUCCCUUAGAAUGGGGAACAUCUCCGUGAAAACGGAGCUAAUACCGCAUAAGACCACAGUUUGGCAUCAAACAGGGGUAAAAGCAGCAAUGUGUUCUAAGAUGGUCCUGUGUCCUAUCAGCUAGUUGGUGGGGUAACGGCCUACCAAGGCUAAGACGGGUAUCCGGCCUGAGAGGUUGAACGGCCACAUUGGGACUGAGACACGGCCCAGACUCC